Molecule: long non-coding RNA, 3997 nt
Organism: Triticum aestivum (bread wheat)
Lineage: Eukaryota; Viridiplantae; Streptophyta; Magnoliopsida; Poales; Poaceae
Exons: 2
Source: RefSeq, a predicted model, not a curated record
GAUUGGAAUCCAGUCUCACUAUGUUUUCAGUUUCAUUAGUCGCGCAACACCUGAUUGAAGCUAUGGAAAAUGUCACUGCAGUCCUCUUUCUGAGGCUUUUCCAUGUAAAUUCGAGUUGGAUAAGAUCUUCUGCUUCCGAGAUUUCCUUGAGGAGCUCAUACUGUACCCUUAAUAAAAGCCCCAAAUUUCGGUUGCUGUUUUCUAGUUUCUUAAUCGCCUCCAGUUCUGUGCUCGCUUUGGGCUUUGUCCAUUUCUAUUUGGGGGGCAUUAUCUGGCUCUGCUAUCUGUACUGUACAAAUUAUAUAACCUACAGAUAGCUAAGAUAUUGACCAAUUUGCACAGUUAUGUGGAGAUCAUUUGUCAUACACCGUGAAGUACGGUUGUUGGUGUGCCAGGGUUUGCUCUUGCAAGUCUUGAGCUAAAGAAUUUGCUGAUCUGUCCCAAACUGAUUGGCUACAGGACAGGCUAUGGCGAAGUCAAUGUACAAGGACUACAUCAUGCAUGCAUGACAUUGACAAUAUGGUCCAUAUUCUGGUUUGAUUUUUACCUUUUUGCCCUGUGGUUUUAUCUUUCCUAGGACAAUGUUUCGUGUGGCUGAACUAUCUCUUGUGAAUUUUUGCCAUCUCGACUAUGAGCUUCUGCAGAUGUCAGAACCUUUUCAACCUUUCUUGCUUGUUCUGUAGCCUUUUUUAACAUAAUUUUUUCUUCAAUCAUCUUAAGCAUACAAGAUAUCCAAUCUUCAAGUAUUAUAUUUCAUAUCCAGUUCGGCACUCAGUACCUAGUCAAGAGAUUCAUAGCUUUACAAAUUGAGCAGUACAUUUUAGUUCAUAUGCCACUAAACUUCAGUAUGGUACUUGAACUAAAAUGUACUAAAAUGUACAUAGCUUCAGUUUUUCCCUGUGGUUUAUAGAUUCAUAUGAAGUUUUGCCCUGUGGUUUAUAGAUUCAUAGCUUUACAAAUUGAGCAGUAAAUUGAGCAGUACAUUUUAGUUCAUAGAUUCAUAACUUCAGUACAUAGCUUCAGUUUUGCCCUGUGGUUUAUAUCUUUCUUAGGACAACGUUUCAUGUUUCAUGCGGCUGAACUACCUCUCGUGUGAUUUUUUUUUUUGCCAUCUCAAUUAUGAGCUUCUGUAUAUGUCCAACCUUUCUCGAAAUUUCUUGCUUGUUGUGUAGUUUUUUGUUAUCAUUUUUUUUCUUCAAUCAUCUUAAGCAUACAGGAUGCCCCAUCUUAGUAUUUAUUCCUCAUGCCAGUUCGGCAGUCAGUAUUGAGUCAAGAGUUUCAUAGCUUUACAGUUUGAACACUGCAUUUUAGUUCACAGGCCACUAACUUUGUACAAUCUACAACCAUAUAAUGCUUGUCAAGUGACAGAUCACAUAAUGUAUGUUGCCUGCUGUGUUAGACAGAUCACAUAAUGUAUGUUGCCUGCUGUGUUAGGACAUAAAUGGAAGUACGAAAACUGAAUCAAAACCACAAGGACUGAUAAAAGGAGAUUUAACAACUUGAUUGCAAAAAUGGAGCAAGUCACUAGACCUGCCUUUAUUUCCCCUUUGGAUAUUGUAGAACAUCAUGAAAUGAAAAUUAACAGAACAGGAGAGCUAAGAGCAUCAUUUUAUGGACAUGUUCUAGAAACACAUCCCUUGCUUCCCAGGUGCUUUCAUGCCUUGCACACAUCCCACCAUCUUGUUGCUACCUUCCCAUCCUGCAAAUUUAAUGAUUUAGUCAUCAUUACUUUGCCUUUGUGAAACACAUGAAUUUUCUUGACUAUGCAUUCUUUCAGUAAGACGCAGCGACCUUUGGCCAUGUUGAAGCCACGGUUUUCCAGCUCCUUGUACUCUUGGCAUAGCGCGCAACUCUCACAGAAGAAGUGGACACAGCAGUCCAUGCAGGGCGAUGCUGUCAAGUUGUAUUGCGACCGCAUCGCCGAGCGUUUGGUACAAGAAUACAACCAGUUGCAGCCUACGCAAGCCAGGCAAACAUACAGGGUCCCAUUCAUGCAGCAUGCUGAAAACAAGGAGACUCAGCCACAAAGAUGGAUGAUUUUUAUGCUUCAACCUAAGCACGAAUUCUAAGCGAAACACCUACAUGGGGAGCCUUUGUCCACAAUCCCUGCAAGACGACCAAAGGUAACACAGGGGCACCAGAAAGUCAAGCAACCUGCAAUGUUUGGAAAUGGAAUGGAACACAGAUGAGUACUUUGCAAGUUUGCAUGCUGCUUAUGAAACCCAUGUACAAGGGGUGCAAGAAGAACAGAACAAAAGCUAGGUCUGCAUACAGGUGCGGAAAUCCCCAAAGCAGUCGAAAAGCCCAACUGACCACUCAGCAACCAUGGUGCUAGUAAGUUUGGUAGAUUGUGGAUCUGUGAUCGUUGAGUAUGGGAAUAGCAGCGGUGUGCAGCUGUGCCCUUGUGAGCUUUGAUGCUACCGAUGCUUAUAUACUAGCAGUAACAGUGCAGUAUCAGGUAUGACAAAGUCAAUUGCUUCAGCAACCAAUUCCAGUGCAGCGUUUUUGUUUUUGUUUUAUGGGUUUUCUCUUGCAAUCUGCACCGAAUAUUGUGCGCUAGUGCCGUGUUUACUGGUUUUGCUUUGAAUUGGUCUUCUCAAGGAAACCUUGUUCAAUUGGCAUGUUCUGCUUUGGACCAAUCUUUCUGGAAAUCCCAUGCCCAAUCAGCAUAUGGCAGCAUUCUGGAGCUUCUAGUCUGGUGGUAACUUUCAUGCCUUAUCGUCGUUUUCCUAUGUAUGAAAUCGGCUUGAUAGCAAGUAAUAUACUAAUGAUAAUCACCAUGUAACUCUCCGUUUAGAGUAGGGGAACCAUGCCUGGUGACAAGCUAACCAAACACUUGCCAGUUAACAUAACGUAUACAUAUGGUUUCUGCACAAAGGUGUGUCCUGCUUGAACUUUCUGGUUACGGCCAUGGUUUCGUUUUUCGUAUCGCCAACUAGAGCUAGAGUAUUCCCUAUUGGGGAUGAUGUUCAUGUGUUUCUUUUUAUCUUCUACUGAUAGGCUACCAUCUGCUUGUUGAAGCUGAAAGUUCUGUAACAGUUGAAACAAAUUUGGUAGAAACUGAAUAUUCAGAGUAGCAACCAGUCAGGUAACGUCUCCUGGCAACCUAAAGAAUAUCGACAUACGGAAUGUUUAACACUGUUCUGGGGGCUGCAGUCAGCGAGUUUUUCUUUGGAACUGUAGUGAGUGUCUUUUGGUUGCUUAUUACAUGACGGUUGUCUCGGAUAAGGUUUCUGGUUUAGAGGGGAAACAGUUUGUUUCGGAUAGGUUGUGUUCAGCUGCAGCAAAACAUCAGGCCACGCUCGCUCUAUUGCAAAUACCUCUCGGGCCUGGCCCAAGUAUUCGGUCAGUUCCGAGAUAGAAAGUAAUACCCCCCCCCCCCCCCCCCCCCCCCCCUAUCUCUUCAAUUGUACAGAAACCCCCAAAGUCUCUGAGAACCGGGCAAUUCUCCACUGGGUGGUUUUCUGAGAGGAUUUCAGGUGGUUUGAUGAUGAGUAUUUCACCUGAUCGCGCUGUGGCUGCCUUUCUUUCCUGAUUGCCUCUUCAUCUCUGCCUGCAUCCUCCUGGCCGCCUCUGCCGUCGUCGUUGUCGCCGUGGCCCUCAUCUCCGCCGACACCUUUUUUCCUGCAGGUACGUAGCCGACCCUUUUUUCCUGCUCUCCUUCUCAGGAAUGCACAUGAAUGGAAUGCACACUUAGUGAGACUAGGAAGCUUUUGAUGCAUUUCAAGUACAAAAAACAUUUCAAGCAGACAUAGCCAAGGUUGCUCCUAAUGGCUGCCAAUGACAGAAAAAGGAUGGGAAUUGCUAUGCAGUCCACACCUGUUGCUGUCAAUCAAGCAAGGAGGAAAGCUGGAAGCCUGAAGACCUCUGAACCAAGCUCACAGCCAAAGCUCUUAUGUAUUCCCUCUGUAAACAAAUACAAUACGUUUUAUGCCACUAAAACAGAGGUAGUAGUACCUUAGCACUGUCUGUUCAACCUUGCUGCUUGCAAGGAAAC